GAAAGAACAAUGUUAAUCAAUGUUAAAUGUAAUUGGCUGAUUGUUUAUUGAGACCAUCUUAGUAUUCCAUUUUUGCCAUUUAGUAUUAUGAUUUUUCUGCUUUAUCCUUGCUGACCAUUUUUCUAUCUGUUCCUGUGUUGCAAAUAGGCUAGAGAAUUUGGUUGAAACCUUGCAAGCAAACUCUUCUUCCAGUAUGUUCUUCACGAGAACUUAUUUGAAGAUGGAAAUCACUUGUACCGCUUCUUGGAUCAUGAUCCUAUUGUGAUGUCUCAAUGUCACAACAUUCCAAGUGUUAUAACAGAAGUAAAGCCAAAGCCGAUAAUAGAAAUUUCAUCAAGGCUUAGAUUUUUGUCGUAUGCAAUCUUUGAAGCUUAUGCAUCGGAAGAUGGAAAACAUGUUGAUUACAGAAGUAUUCAUGGGAGUGAGGAAUUUGCAAGGUAUUUAAGAAUAGUUGAGGAGCUUCAAAGAGUAGAUCUACAGGAUAUGUCAAGGGAGGAGAAGAUGGCUUUUUUUUAUAAAUCUCUUUUGUAUGUUGGCCAUUCACGCAAUUUUGGUUUGGGGUCAUCCUACUGGAGCUCUAGAGCAUAGGAAACUGAUGGGGGAUUUUAAGUAUGUUAUUGGUGGGUGCACCUAUUCGCUUUCAGCAAUUCAAAAUGAAGUUGAACUUGUAAAAAUCAUAUUUCUAUGAUUGAAGAUUUGGUUUUGAACUUUAUUUUAUGGACA
Molecule: non-coding RNA, 723 nt
Organism: Camellia sinensis
Lineage: Eukaryota; Viridiplantae; Streptophyta; Magnoliopsida; Ericales; Theaceae
Source: RefSeq, a predicted model, not a curated record